This 541-nucleotide ribosomal RNA is filed under the name uncultured bacterium. RNAcentral describes it as "bacterial SSU rRNA". It matches the Rfam family "Bacterial small subunit ribosomal RNA", at positions 8 to 526 of the family's 1533-position model. The record is from RNAcentral.
AGAGUUUGAUCAUGGCUCAGAGCGAACGUUAGCGGCGGGCCUAACACAUGCAAGUCGAGCGAGAAAGCGGCUUCGGCCGUGAGUAAAGCGGCGGACGGGUGAGUAACACGUGGAUAACCUGCCCUUCAGCGGGGGAUAACUGUCCGAAAGGAUAGCUAAUACCGCGUACGUCGGCGAGGACCUCGGUUCUUGUCGGGAAAGCAGCCCUCUUCAUGAAAGGUUGCGCUGAAGGAUGGGUCCGCGUCCCAUCAGCUAGUUGGUGAGGUAAUGGCUCACCAAGGCGAAGACGGGUAGCUGGUCUGAGAGGAUGAUCAGCCACACUGGAACUGAGACACGGUCCAGACUCCUACGGGAGGCAGCAGUGGGGAAUAUUGGGCAAUGGGCGCAAGCCUGACCCAGCCACGCCGCGUGAGUGAUGAAGGCCUUCGGGUCGUAAAGCUCUGUGGGGAGCGACGAAAAUACGCUGGCUAACAUCCAGCGGACUGACGGUAGCUCCUUAGCAAGCACCGGGCUAACUCUGUGCCAGCAGCCGCGGUAAUAC